Molecule: long non-coding RNA, 473 nt
Filed under: Brassica napus (rape)
Lineage: Eukaryota; Viridiplantae; Streptophyta; Magnoliopsida; Brassicales; Brassicaceae
Description: long non-coding RNA (BNAP_LNC013681)
Source: RNAcentral
UUCAUGGAAAUAUUGAAUCUCAACCAAUGAAAAAUCAAAAGUUGAGACUAGAAUAACCAACACUGUAAUGAAAGGCAAUAACUAGUGAUAAGAACCAUGACCGCGGCGGCCACGCUUCCCUCUCCCUCGAACCGUCUUCCAUUCCAUGUCUUGGUAUUUACUAGGGGGUUUUGUUUCCCUCCCACCUCUUGUCAAGCUGAGCGAGCUAGAUGGCUCGGUCCCAUCUUCAUCCAAUCCCACAUCUCUUGACCCUUUGAACUGAGCAGGACUCUCAAAUGCAAAGGGUGUGUGUUGUGGCUAGAGGACCAACGACUAAAGUUUCACUAACCUCAGUGUUGAUAACGGUUGAUGGAGAUGACUCCAUAAAGUAAAGAUUGUAUUAAGCUCAUCGUUAACAAUGUACAAGAGAGGCAAUAUAUACAUCACAGACUCUAGGGAAGAUAUUAACAACAUUCCUAAAACAGAGGAGCUAU